AUACAUAGCUGAUAGGGGAGAUACUAUGAUCAAGAGAACGGCUUUCCCAGGAAAAGGCUUAUCCAUUGGUUUCUGACAUACUGAUCUCCACAAUUUCUUCAAACAUCAGAAACUCAAAUGCAUAAUUUGAGUUGGGGGAGAAUUUUCUCAAGCUUUCUUGCU
The sequence is a small nuclear RNA, 162 nucleotides long. Its record names the gene U1. It matches the Rfam family "U1 spliceosomal RNA". From Rfam's summary of the family: U1 is a small nuclear RNA (snRNA) component of the spliceosome (involved in pre-mRNA splicing). Its 5' end forms complementary base pairs with the 5' splice junction, thus defining the 5' donor site of an intron. The record is from Ensembl.